GUGGGGAAUUUUGGACAAUGGGCGCAAGCCUGAUCCAGCCAUUCCGCGUGCAGGAUGAAGGCCUUCGGGUUGUAAACUGCUUUUGUACGGAACGAAACGGCCUUUUCUAAUACAAGAGGCUAAUGACGGUACCGUAAGAAUAAGCACCGGCUAACUACGUGCCAGCAGCCGCGGUAAUACGUAGGGUGCAAGCGUUAAUCGGAAUUACUGGGCGUAAAGCGUGCGCAGGCGGUUAUGUAAGACAGUUGUGAAAUCCCCGGGCUCAACCUGGGAACUGCAUCUGUGACUGCAUAGCUAGAGUACGGCAGAGGGGGAUGGAAUUCCGCGUGUAGCAGUGAAAUGCGUAGAUAUGCGGAGGAACACCGAUGGCGAAGGCAAUCCCCUGGGCCUGUACUGACGCUCAUGCACGAAAGCGUGGGGAGCAAACAGGAUUAGAUACCCCAGUAGUCC
Molecule: ribosomal RNA, 450 nt
Filed under: uncultured bacterium
Lineage: Bacteria
Description: bacterial SSU rRNA
Rfam family: Bacterial small subunit ribosomal RNA
Source: RNAcentral